UACGAAGGGGGCUAGCGUUGCUCGGAAUUACUGGGCGUAAAGGGAGCGUAGGCGGAUAGUUUAGUCAGAGGUGAAAGCCCAGGGCUCAACCUUGGAAUUGCCUUUGAUACUGGCUAUCUUGAGUAUGGGAGAGGUAUGUGGAACUCCGAGUGUAGAGGUGAAAUUCGUAGAUAUUCGGAAGAACACCAGUGGCGAAGGCGACAUACUGGCCCAUUACUGACGCUGAGGCUCGAAAGCGUGGGGAGCAAACAGGAUUAGAAACCCUCGUAGUCC
RNAcentral lists this ribosomal RNA (273 nucleotides) under uncultured bacterium. RNAcentral describes it as "partial 16S ribosomal RNA". It matches the Rfam family "Bacterial small subunit ribosomal RNA", at positions 524 to 796 of the family's 1533-position model. The record is from RNAcentral.